CCGAGUUUACAACUCCCAAACCCCUGUGAACAUUCCCUAUGUUGCCUCGGCGGAUCAGCCCGCGCCCCGGUAAAACGGGACGGCCCGCCGCAGGAACCCUAAACUCUGUUUCUAUAGUGGAACCUUCUGAGUAAAAACCAUAAUAAAUCA
This 150-nucleotide unclassified non-coding RNA is filed under the name soil metagenome. Its description in RNAcentral is "partial internal transcribed spacer 1". The record is from RNAcentral.